AGAGUUUGAUCCUGGCUCAGGACGAACGCUGGCGGCGUGCGUAAUACAUGCAAGUCGAGCGAGCUUGCCUAGAUGAUUUUGGUGCUUGCACUAAAUGAAACUAGAUACAAGCGAGCGGCGGACGGGUGAGUAACACGUGGGUAACCUGCCCAAGAGACUGGGAUAACACCUGGAAACAGAUGCUAAUACCGGAUAACAACACUAGACGCAUGUCUAGAGUUUGAAAGAUGGUUCUGCUAUCACUCUUGGAUGGACCUGCGGUGCAUUAGCUAGUUGGUAAGGUAACGGCUUACCAAGGCAAUGAUGCAUAGCCGAGUUGAGAGACUGAUCGGCCACAUUGGGACUGAGACACGGCCCAAACUCCUACGGGAGGCAGCAGUAGGGAAUCUUCCACAAUGGACGAGAGUCUGAUGGAGCAACGCCGCGUGAGUGAAGAAGGGUUUUCGGCUCGUAAAGCUCUGUUGGUAGUGAAGAAAGAUAGAGGUAGUAACUGGCCUUUAUUUGACGGUAAUUACUUAGAAAGUCACGGCUAACUACGUGCCAGCAGCCGCGGUAAUACGUAGGUGGCAAGCGUUGUCCGGAUUUAUUGGGCGUAAAGCGAGUGCAGGCGGUUCAAUAAGUCUGAUGUGAAAGCCUUCGGCUCAACCGGAGAAUUGCAUCAGAAACUGUUGAACUUGAGUGCAGAAGAGGAGAGUGGAACUCCAUGUGUAGCGGUGGAAUGCGUAGAUAUAUGGAAGAACACCAGUGGCGAAGGCGGCUCUCUGGUCUGCAACUGACGCUGAGGCUCGAAAGCAUGGGUAGCGAACAGGAUUAGAUACCCUGGUAGUCCAUGCCGUAAACGAUGAGUGCUAAGCGUUGGGAGGUUUCCGCCUCUCAGUGCUGCAGCU
This 887-nucleotide ribosomal RNA is filed under the name uncultured bacterium. RNAcentral describes it as "bacterial SSU rRNA". It matches the Rfam family "Bacterial small subunit ribosomal RNA", at positions 8 to 853 of the family's 1533-position model. The record is from RNAcentral.